AACAAAAACAAACAAACCAAAAACCCGACAAACCGCUCACAUUUUCCCCUUUUAAAUAAUACGGAUUAUUUUCCCUGUGCAUGAAUGGAGAAGACGGGAAAAAGACAGACGGAGGAAAAAUACCGACACACACUCUCUCACACACACACACACACACACACACACGGAGCGCGCGCACAGGAGCAGAAAGAGAAAUGUCGGGGAAAAGCGGUGAUUGCGCGCGGAGUGAAGCGGCUCGAGCGCGCGUCUGCUCGCAGUCACUUACUUGUCUGUGUCCUGUGACAUGAUGAUGUUUUUGGCCUCCUCGGCGAUAAUUCCUGGAGAAACUGGACUUUCAGCCCUGAUUCUGCGCUCCCAUUGGUCAAGGUGUGUAAGGAGGUCGAGCUGUGAUUGGCUGAAACAGCACAGAAAUUAGCGAGGGAUGAGUGCCAUCCUCCCACGGCUCUGAGCUGAGAAACCUUCCUCAGAUCAGGCACGGACACGCAGCCAGACCUGACCGGACAGACGAGUUUCUCUGUAAGCUGUGUUUUUUUGGACAAGAGAGAGAAAAAAGAGAGGCUGGAGAGGGAACGACUGGUUAUAGCUGCUAUAACGUAAGUGACAACAGGAACUAACUUCAAGGAGUUUAAAAAAUCAUUCAAAUGUGUAACCCAGCUAGUAAACCGUUAGAGAGCUAAUCUUUAAAAAAAAAAUCUUACCUGAUGGACCUUUAAAUAUACAGUACUGUUCAAAAGUCUAUUUUUUUUUACUACAAACUUUGUUAUAGAUGUUUAUUUUCUGACUUCUACAUUACUGAUUCAGUACAAAAACAUUUUAGAUUCCAAACAUUAGUUUUCCGGCACAAAAUGAAACGUUACAGAAAAAUGUUUGUAUGUCAGUAAAGAAAGCAGCAGAUUCCAUAAGAGACACUUUUCAGAUAAAAACAGAAUGAAGGCUGCUGGGUUUCGCUGCAGAAAUAAGAAGCGAGUCGACAGUCAAAGUCUCCAGAAGAACUGUGGCUGCUUCUGCAAGAUGCUCAGUAACACUUCCAGCUCAUUUCCUUAUAAAACUGCACACACUGCACCUCAGAUACUGCUUUAUUUUAUUUAAAGUGAAGGAUCGUCACAUUAAAUACUGACUUUGUUUCAUUUAUUACUGUUUACUGCUCUUUAUAGGAUUUUUUAAAAAUGUAGAAACAUUUAAUUUCAUUAUUUUUGAAGGAAUCUUUGCUCUAAAGCAUUUCUACAGCAUGUGCCAAAGACUUUUGCACAAUACUGUAACUAUAAAUGGAUAAAAAUUAUGAUGUGUUGUUCUUUAAUAACAAAAAUUUGUCUACUAAUUGUGUUUUGGGAGUCGGGCUCUAGAAGCUCGGAUUUCAGUGCUCGGUCCUGUGUGUGUGUGUGUGUGUGUAUGUGUGUGUGUGUGUGUGUGUGUGUGUGUGUGUGAGUGCAGAAGAACCCCCGAUCUGCGCUGGAACUUCAGGUCCUCGGCUCUAAACACACGGGUUUGUGUCUCCUCUGUACUUCAUUAGCAGCGUAAACACACAGCUGCAUUGUGAGCUGAAGGCUGAGGGUCGAAACCUUCAGCGCGUAAACACACACACUAUUGUUUUCAGGUGUCUGAGACAAAGCACUCGGUCAGUGGGGAAGAUAAUCAGAUUUACUGAGAUCAGAUAAACAUCUCACUGUCCUGUCCUCACACACACACACACACACACACACACACACACAUACACACACACCCCUCAUCCAAUCACUAACACAAACCUGCAAUAAUAUUAAUUUUACACCACAGCCUUUUAGAGCGGUUCUGUCUCGUGAUCUCGAGUUUGAUGUUGAAAAAUCAAGGCAUGUUGAAAGAUUUAGUCUUUAGGUUAUUGUUCUAAAAAUAAAGAAAACCUUUUUUUUGCUUGUUUGUUAUGUAAUCCUACUAUAGCACUACAAAGUUUUUUGGGAGAAAAUACACUAAAAUGGUGCAUUUAUGCUUUGGUUUGUGUUAAAAUUCAUGUUAGUAGAGACUAAAAUUGAAAAAGUCA
Molecule: long non-coding RNA, 2014 nt
Organism: Pangasianodon hypophthalmus (striped catfish)
Lineage: Eukaryota; Metazoa; Chordata; Actinopteri; Siluriformes; Pangasiidae
Exons: 4
Source: RefSeq, a predicted model, not a curated record